This 198-nucleotide ribosomal RNA is filed under the name uncultured bacterium. RNAcentral's name for it is "partial 16S ribosomal RNA". It matches the Rfam family "Bacterial small subunit ribosomal RNA", at positions 328 to 539 of the family's 1533-position model. The record is from RNAcentral.
ACGCUCGACACCUACGGGGGCAGCAGUUGGGAAUAUUGGACAAUGGAGGAAACUCUGAUCCAGUGACGCCGCGUGAAGGAAGAAGGUCUUCGGAUUGUAAACUUAUUUUGUCAGGGAAGAAAAAAUGACUGUACCUGAAGAAAAAGCACCGGCUAACUACGUGCCACAGCCGCGGUAAUCUGAGCGGGCUGGCAAGGC